UGGUAGUGACGAAAAAUAACAAUGCGGGACUCUUCCGAGUCUGCGUAAUUGGAAUGAGCACACUUUAAAUCCUUUAGCAACAACCAAUUGGAGGGCAAGUCUGGUGCCAGCAGCCGCGGUAAUUCCAGCUCCAAUAGCGUAUAUUAAAGUUGUUGCGGUUAAAAAGCUCGUAGUUCGAGCUCAGUUCCGGACUGGCCGGGGAGGUCACCGCCCGGUGCUUCCCCGUCAGGCUCCGAACAGCUUCCGUGAGUGGAAGCCAAGCCGGUUCUGCCGGGGUGCUCUUCACCGAGUGUCCCGCGCGGCCGGCCAGUUCACCUUGAAUAAAUGAGAGUGCUCAAAGCAGGCUACUCUCGAAUACAAUGCCCGAAUGUUACCUGCAUGGAAUGAUGGAAGAUGAUCUCGGUUCCAUUUUCUUGGUGGUGGGAGCCAGAGGUAAUGAUAAAGAGGGACUGUCGGGGGCAUCCGUACUACGACGCGAGAGGUGAAAUUCAGUGACCGUCGUAGGACGAACAACAGCGAAAGCAUUUGCCAAGAAUGUCUUCGUUGAUCAAGAACGAAAGUUAGAGGAUCGAAGGCGAUCAGAUACCGCCCUAGUUCUAACCCUAAACGAUGCUGACCAGCAAUUCGCCGUCGUUAUUCCCAUGACGUGGCGAGACGCCCCCGGGAAACCUCAAGUCUUUGAGUUCCGGGGGUAGUAUGGUUGCAAAACUGAAACUUAAAGGAAUUGACGGAAGGGCACCACCAGGAGUGGAGCCUGCGGCUUAAUUUGACUCAACACGGGAAACCUCACCAGGCCCGGACACCAGAAGGAUUGACAGAUUAAGAGCUCUUUCUCGAUUUGGUGGGUGGUGGUGCAUGGCCGUUCUU
RNAcentral lists this ribosomal RNA (867 nucleotides) under Palaemon serenus. RNAcentral describes it as "SSU rRNA". It matches the Rfam family "Eukaryotic small subunit ribosomal RNA", at positions 462 to 1295 of the family's 1831-position model. The record is from RNAcentral. RNAcentral also lists the same sequence under 2 other names. Lineage: Eukaryota; Metazoa; Arthropoda; Malacostraca; Decapoda; Palaemonidae.